RNAcentral lists this long non-coding RNA (438 nucleotides) under Malus domestica (apple). Its description in RNAcentral is "long non-coding RNA (MDOM_LNC019212)". The record is from RNAcentral. Lineage: Eukaryota; Viridiplantae; Streptophyta; Magnoliopsida; Rosales; Rosaceae.
CAAAAAGGAGAUCAGCGACAACCGAAGGGGUGGUGACAAAGUAGUGCCAAUCUUCACCAUGCGGUCUGGAUGGUCUUUGGAGAUAGAGACAUUCUCUAACUCUUCAGCGGGUUGUGCUUGCUGGGUGAGGAGUCAUCUCGAGGGUCGUCGGUUGACUGUUGCUAUCAGGAAGAUCCAAGUUCGCUUCAUCUAGGCUGGUCUUUACGACUUGGUUAUGUAUAGAGAGAGUCUCCUUGGGGACAGACAGGUGUUGUUGUUUGACUGAAGUGUUGUAACAUGAUCGUGCACUAAGCUGAUCUCCUCUGAUGUAGCCGUUGCCAUGGGGGUUGGAAAUUUCAUCAACAGCAUAUGCGUGGAUACCAUAGCCUUGAGAUCAUUGAUGCCUGUGCGCCCAAAGAUGACAUUGUAUGCCGUCGGGCAAUUGACCACUAAGAAGUU